UCCCUGGUGUCUCAGACGGUAAAGCGUCUGCCUGCAAUGCGGGAGACCCGGGUUCGAUUCCUGGGUUGGGAA
Molecule: transfer RNA, 72 nt
Filed under: Bos taurus (domestic cattle)
Lineage: Eukaryota; Metazoa; Chordata; Mammalia; Artiodactyla; Bovidae
Also listed under: 2 other names
Rfam family: tRNA
About the family: Transfer RNA (tRNA) molecules are approximately 80 nucleotides in length. Their secondary structure includes four short double-helical elements and three loops (D, anti-codon, and T loops).
Source: Rfam by way of RNAcentral